GAUGAACGCUGACAGAAUGCUUAACACAUGCAAGUCUACUUGAAACUAACUUCGGUUAGUGGAUGGUGGCGGACGGGUGAGUAACGCGUAAAGAACUUGCCUCACAGUUUGGGACAACAUUUGGAAACGAAUGCUAAUACCGGAUAUUAUGAUACUUCCGCAUGGAAGAAUCAUGAAAGCUAUAUGCGCUGUGAGAGAGCUUUGCGUCCCAUUAGCUAGUUGGAGAGGUAACGGCUCACCAAGGCGAUGAUGGGUAGCCGGCCUGAGAGGGUGAACGGCCACAAGGGGACUGAGACACGGCCCUUACUCCUACGGGAGGCAGCAGUGGGGAAUAUUGGACAAUGGACCAAAAGUCUGAUCCAGCAAUUCUGUGUGCACGAUGAAGUUUUUCGGAAUGUAAAGUGCUUUCAGUUGGGAAGAAGCAAGUGACGGUACCAACAGAAGAAGCGACGGCUAAAUACGUGCCAGCAGCCGCGGUAAUACGUAUGUCGCAAGCGUUAUCCGGAUUUAUUGGGCGUAAAGCGCGUCUAGGUGGUUAUAUAAGUCUGAUGUGAAAAUGCGGGGCUCAACUCCGUAUUGCGUUGGAAACUGUAUGACUAGAGUACUGGAGAGGUAAGCGGAACUACAAGUGUAGAGGUGAAAUUCGUAGAUAUUUGUAGGAAUGCCGAUGGGGAAGCCAGCUUACUGGACAGAUACUGACGCUAAAGCGCGAAAGCGUGGGUAGCAAACAGG
This 732-nucleotide ribosomal RNA is filed under the name uncultured bacterium. RNAcentral describes it as "bacterial SSU rRNA". It matches the Rfam family "Bacterial small subunit ribosomal RNA", at positions 28 to 776 of the family's 1533-position model. The record is from RNAcentral.